GUGCUCACUUCGGCAGCACAUAUACUAAAAUUGGAGUGAUACACAGAAGACUAGGAUGGCCCCUGUGCGAGGAUGACACACAAAUUCGCAAAGCAUUCCAUAUUUUU
Small nuclear RNA from Gorilla gorilla gorilla (western lowland gorilla), 107 nucleotides. NCBI's taxonomy places the organism in Eukaryota, Metazoa, Chordata, Mammalia, Primates, Hominidae. The record is from Ensembl.